CUGUGGAAUUGGUGCUAUUUGUAUCAACAUUGUGGGUGGCUGUGUUUGUGAAUGUCCACCAGGCACUAGUGGAGAUCCUUACAAAAAUGGAUGUCGAGACUCACCAGCUUGUUUGUCUAACUCUGACUGUCCAAGUAAUACCAUUUGUGAUAAGAAAGGGGGAAAUUGUAUAGAUCCCUGUACCACGUCAUGGUGUGGCCCUAAUGCUUACUGUGUACCCGAGAAUCAUAGAGCCAAGUGUAUUUGUCAACCUGGUUUUUCAGGUGACCCUGAUGAUCUGAACAAAGGAUGUGUUUCUC
Long non-coding RNA from Limulus polyphemus (Atlantic horseshoe crab), 299 nucleotides. RefSeq lists it as uncharacterized. NCBI's taxonomy places the organism in Eukaryota, Metazoa, Arthropoda, Merostomata, Xiphosura, Limulidae. The transcript is spliced from 3 exons. The record is from RefSeq and is a predicted model, not a curated record.